Molecule: ribosomal RNA, 302 nt
Filed under: uncultured bacterium
Lineage: Bacteria
Description: partial 16S ribosomal RNA
Rfam family: Bacterial small subunit ribosomal RNA
Source: RNAcentral
GCAGUAGCCGCGGUAAUACGUAGGUGGCAAGCGUUGUCCGGAAUUAUUGGGCGUAAAGGGCUCGCAGGCGGUUUCUUAAGUCUGAUGUGAAAGCCCCCGGCUCAACCGGGGAGGGUCAUUGGAAACUGGGAAACUUGAGUGCAGAAGAGGAGAGUGGAAUUCCACGUGUAGCGGUGAAAUGCGUAGAGAUGUGGAGGAACACCAGUGGCGAAGGCGACUCUCUGGUCUGUAACUGACGCUGAGGAGCGAAAGCGUGGGGAGCGAACAGGAUUAGAUACCCCUGUAGUCCCUGUCUCUUAUAC